UACGGAGGGUGCGAGCGUUGUCCGGAAUCACUGGGCGUAAAGGGCGCGUAGGCGGUCCGGUAAGCGUGUGGUGAAAGCCCGGGGCUCAACCCCGGGUCGGCCGUGCGAACUGCGGGACUGGAGCACUGUAGAGGCAGGCGGAAUUCCGGGAGUAGCGGUGGAAUGCGUAGAGAUCCGGAAGAACACCGGUGGCGAAGGCGGCCUGCUGGGCAGUAGCUGACGCUGAGGCGCGACAGCGUGGGGAGCAAACAGG
RNAcentral lists this ribosomal RNA (253 nucleotides) under uncultured bacterium. Its description in RNAcentral is "partial 16S ribosomal RNA". It matches the Rfam family "Bacterial small subunit ribosomal RNA", at positions 524 to 776 of the family's 1533-position model. The record is from RNAcentral.